Molecule: ribosomal RNA, 406 nt
Filed under: uncultured bacterium
Lineage: Bacteria
Description: bacterial SSU rRNA
Rfam family: Bacterial small subunit ribosomal RNA
Source: RNAcentral
GUGGGGAAUUUUGCGCAAUGGGCGAAAGCCUGACGCAGCAACGCCGCGUGGGUGAAGAAGGCCUUUGGGUCGUAAAGCCCUUUUCUGGGGAAAGAGCAAAGACGGUACCCCAGGAACAAGCACCGGCUAACUCCGUGCCAGCAGCCGCGGUAAUACGGAGGGUGCAAGCGUUGUUCGGAAUUACUGGGCGUAAAGGGCGUGUAGGCGGAUUUGCAAGCUGGGGGUGAAAGGCCAGGGCUCAACCCGGGACCAUCUCCCAGAACUGCGUAUCUAGAGAGAGUCAGAGGCAGGUGGAAUUCCUGGUGUAGAGGUGAAAUUCGUAGAGAUCAGGAGGAACACCGGCGGCGAAGGCGACCUGCUGGGGCUUUUCUGACGCUGAGGCGCGAAAGCGUGGGGAGCAAACAGG